Molecule: ribosomal RNA, 450 nt
Filed under: uncultured bacterium
Lineage: Bacteria
Description: partial 16S ribosomal RNA
Rfam family: Bacterial small subunit ribosomal RNA
Source: RNAcentral
GUGGGGAAUUUUGGACAAUGGGCGCAAGCCUGAUCCAGCAAUGCCGCGUGCAGGAAGAAGGCCUUCGGGUUGUAAACUGCUUUUGUACGGAACGAAACGGUCCGGGUUAAUACCCUGGGCUAAUGACGGUACCGUAAGAAUAAGCACCGGCUAACUACGUGCCAGCAGCCGCGGUAAUACGUAGGGUGCAAGCGUUAAUCGGAAUUACUGGGCGUAAAGCGUGCGCAGGCGGGUUUGUAAGACAGGCGUGAAAUCCCCGGGCUCAACCUGGGAGUUGCGCUUGUGACUGCAAGGCUGGAGUGCGGCAGAGGGGGAUGGAAUUCCGCGUGUAGCAGUGAAAUGCGUAGAUAUGCGGAGGAACACCGAUGGCGAAGGCAAUCCCCUGGACCUGUACUGACGCUCAUGCACGAAAGCGUGGGGAGCAAACAGGAUUAGAUACCCCUGUAGUCC